GCCAGACUGAAGAUCUG
Molecule: unclassified non-coding RNA, 17 nt
Filed under: Saccharomyces cerevisiae (brewer's yeast)
Lineage: Eukaryota; Fungi; Ascomycota; Saccharomycetes; Saccharomycetales; Saccharomycetaceae
Description: PHENYLALANINE TRANSFER RNA from Saccharomyces cerevisiae (PDB 1LU3, chain A)
Source: RNAcentral